GACGAACGCUGGCGGCGUGCUUAACACAUGCAAGUCGAACGGAAAGGCCCUGCUUUUGUGGGGUGCUCGAGUGGCGAACGGGUGAGUAACACGUGAGUAACCUGCCCUUGACUUUGGGAUAACUUCAGGAAACUGGGGCUAAUACCGGAUAGGAGCUCCUGCUGCAUGGUGGGGGUUGGAAAGUUUCGGCGGUUGGGGAUGGACUCGCGGCUUAUCAGCUUGUUGGUGGGGUAGUGGCUUACCAAGGCUUUGACGGGUAGCCGGCCUGAGAGGGUGACCGGCCACAUUGGGACUGAGAUACGGCCCAGCCCCCUACGGGAGGCAGCAGGGGGGAAUAUUGCAAAAUGGGCGGAAGCCUGAUGCAGCAACCCCGCGGGGGGGAUGACGGCCUUCGGGUUGUAAACCGCUUUCGCCUGUGACGAAGCGGGAGUGACGGUAAUGGGUAAAGAAGCACCGGCUAACUACGU
RNAcentral lists this ribosomal RNA (467 nucleotides) under uncultured bacterium. RNAcentral describes it as "partial 16S ribosomal RNA". It matches the Rfam family "Bacterial small subunit ribosomal RNA", at positions 28 to 506 of the family's 1533-position model. The record is from RNAcentral.